Molecule: long non-coding RNA, 5476 nt
Filed under: Sus scrofa (pig)
Lineage: Eukaryota; Metazoa; Chordata; Mammalia; Artiodactyla; Suidae
Description: lncRNA (ENSSSCG00000059170.1, ENSSSCG00090024811.1)
Source: RNAcentral
GGCCCGUUAACACGAGCAAGAAGGGAUCGGAGGCCUGGCCUCUGACCACAGGGAGGACCCGUGCAGCAUGGCGUAGCUCUUCUCUCAGACAAGCCCGAUCAAACCGCGCUUUGGUCAGUAUAAGCGAUCCAGGAGUAUUUUUACACGCCUCCAUCUCUGACUUCAGAAAUUCCAGGGAGGCAAGAGCAACCUGGGGGGAAAGAGAGAAUUCAUCUCCUUACAACUCGGCAGGACAGAAGUUUCAAGACCACGCAGAUGGUUUGGCCAGGCGCCUGGAUUCUGGAGCAAUGCAAGUUCGGGGACAGCAAGGAGGCAGAGGCAAGCGGAGGCAGGGAAAAGGCUAGAGAGUGAGUUCGUAUCUUUAUUUGUACAUGUCUUUAUUGUUUGAAUUUGACAGUGGGCAUAUUCAUGCAUCGUUCUUUGUUUUUAAAUCCCCGACCUGCACAAGAGCCCGACUCCACCCUUCUCCUGCUGUUUUCCCAUGGUAACGGAGCGGCAGUGAUUAGCAGGGAGAAGCCCCUAACUAGGUGUUCGUACCAAGGCACUGGAAUGAUGAGAAAUCUGUAUUUUAAAAGAGCUUCUGGUUACUUCUACUCGGCCCUGUAGCAGCCUCGCCAAGGUGGCGGGCAGCCCAAAGUCACAUCCACCACAAGCAACCCUAAAUAGCUUUGGUUGGACUGACAGCCCAGUUCCUCACUCCCCUGCUGUGCGGUCCAGGUCACAGCCACCUGCUGGGACCCGCAAUGGGCAUGGUGCUUCCCACGCUCUGCCUAGGGGUGCGGCCACGUGACUGGCUCUGGCCAAUGGGAAGGGGCUCUGGGCCUGGGCGUUGAGGAACAAGCCUGGGCCACGCCACCCGCGUGGGGACCGUGAGACGCAGGAGCUGUUUGCCACAGAUCUGCAGGGUGAACACCCAGGAAGCCCAGGCUGAGGCUCUUGGCCGUGGACCUGGUGCGCAGGUGCGUGCGUUUCUGUCUGUUACUCGCACUUGGUCUCGUCCGUUAGUGCGCGAUCUCGCGGGAACUCUGAGCUCAUCUUGGCGGAUGGAAAGCCCAUCUGGGGCUGUCUGGGCCCAGGGGAUGCUAACAGAGCCAUCACGUGACCAAACUCUUCUCCGCCCCUUCCCCUCCCCGCCCCCCAGCACUCUUGGCCCUGUGGUGCAGGGUGCAUGGCCUGUGAACUUUCCAGAAGGUAUAGGCGUGGUGAGCCCCAGGAAGAAAAGUGGCGUGGACCCCAGAUUCGAAAGGGAAAUUGUGAAGACUAACCCGUGUCUAAGUAAAUAUUUAUGAAAUACAUCGUUGCGCCACCUUUGUGAAUGGUCCCAGUAGGCUGAGAAUGUCACUGCAUGUGAGAGGAAGUUGCAGUUUUUGUUUUCUCACGUGACAAAAGGGCCCUCCUGUGCGAGGUAACAGCCGAGAGUUCCUAGGCAGCCGUACACUGAGGCCCUGAUGGUGAAAUGAUUAUGUUAGGGAGGCUUCAGGGCCCCUUGAGGCUUGGUCAGGCAGAUGUGGGUGUUUUUCUCACACCAAGAAGUCAGUCGGAAAUGGGCUCAGUUCCCUUUGCUGUGUAUUUGGCCAGAGACACUCAUGUAUCCACUCCUGAACCAAAUGCUGGUAAAGCGAAAGGAGACAGGCUUUUAUUUAUUUAAUGAGACACAUCUUCUGUGUCUGGCAUCCUCCUGAGCACUUCCCAGUACUAACUCAGCCUUCUUGCAGCCCUGUAGGAAGGGUGUAAUGGCUAGCCACGCAUUACAGAUGAGGAAACUCAGGCUCAGAGAAGUUAGGUUACUUGGCCAAGGUUGCACAGCUUCUAAGCGGGAAAGCUGGGAUUUUCACCAGAACCAGCUAGCUCCAGAAUUUACAUCCACACUCUCCAGCCUCUCGGCGCCCUUGGUUGGUACAGAUGCGUCCCAUCCUGGAGCCGGGGGUGGGCACAACGUCUCCUGAAGGGUGUUUGCUUUGAGGAUGGGAUAGAUGCUGAGUGGAAUCAGAGUGCCUUUAGGAAGAAGAGCUGGGAUGGCUGCCCAGGACGUCCCAAGAGUGGCCUCUCCCCUCUCCCUCCUCCCCUUCCCCCUCUCUCCUGGUCUCCUGGUCCCCUGGUCCCCUGACCCCGUGCGUGAUUGUAUAAAGUGGACAACUGCUCCCCUCCCAUCUCGGUGGCCCUCGUCAUGCUUUCUGCCCUGUCCCCUCCUUCUGCUUCUCGCUCUUUGAGUCAUGUUCCAAAAUGACUUUUGCAAUGUCAGAGCCAUAAAUAGAUUAUGAGAAGAAAAUCUUUUGUUUAAACAGAAAUUCUAAUUUUCUGAAAGGUGAUGAAUAAACACUCCGCGAUGCAUUAGAGAUCAGCAAAUCUUGUUUGCGCAAAAUCAUGCUUCAAUUUCUUUAUGUAAGCCGAAAAUAGCAGCCCUAACGACCUUGCCAGAAACCUCUUUGUGUCAAAGGAUUGGUCUCUCCAUUCCAAUCUGUGUUGCCCAGGAGAGGCUGAGCCUUUCCAUUCGGGUGGGAAAGUGCUUCUUAUGGAACCAGUUAGGGCAUAGGCUCGCCCCCGGGGCACUGAGCGGUUCCCUUUCUCCUGGAACUGUCCAAUCCCUUCACUUGAACGCAUCCUUGAGUGUGUUACAAAGUGCCUUUAUCAGGGAGGAGAAACACCCAGGGCCUGAGCCCAGGCGGCCUGAGCCCGACGCUUGGAAGCGCUCUCAGUGGUCGUGCAGUCUUUGCUGCUGUCAAAAUCAGAAUGUUCUUUUCAGCAGCUCUCAGCAGCAGCGCUAGCGACUGCUUCAACCACAGGCCAGAGAGGGUCUUCAGUGAGACACUCCAGGGUGGAUGUCACAGAAGACAUCAGGGCCGCAUCAGCCAAACAGGGGAGCUUGGCUCCUAAGAGAGAGGCUACCCCCCUGGCAGCGAGGGUGGGCAGUGUUCCACAUCCCAGCACAGCAGCGCACGUCAGCCCCAAACCUGGUGGCGUCUAACGACUUCUUUUUAAUGCUUGGAAAUGCCGUGGGUCAGAAAUUUGGACAGAGCACAGCAGGAAGGGCAUGUCACUGCUCCGUGAUGCCAGCACCUUCGCUGGGAAGCUCGGAGACAGAAGGCAUUUUCUCUCCCAUGGUUGCCGCUGGUGCUCGGCUGGGCCCUUGGCUGGAACUGUCAAAGCCCUGUGGGCUUCCAUGAGGGGUGACCUGCAAGAUCUCCCACUGCAGGGAGGGUGACUGCCCCUCAGCCCCAGAUGCCACAUCCUGAACGCCACUGGCACAUCUGUACUAAAGCCACGCCUGCCAUGGGCUGUGCCCAGCAGGUGACGGAGCGUGGCAGAGACAUCGAGCCUGGCCCCCUCCUGGAGAACACAGGACUCCUCUGGCAGGUGACCCAGGCUGGUGGACUCCCUCUGCCAGGCCUUCCCUGAAACUGCCCUCUGGGGGAGCAAAGUCCCCCUUCUCCUUAGGGGCAGGCAGUGCAGAGUGACUUCCACCCAAAGAGAAAUGGUACAGUGGGAAAAACCUGACACACACACCUCAGCCCAGGUCCAAGGUCAAUAUCAACAGUGAUAAAGCAGCUGAUUGGCUCAGAGUAACCCAGAUCUGCCCCUGGGUUGAAGGUGGGGUGACACUCUUUUGUGUUUAGGGGGUGAUCUUUGCAAGGAGGGAGGUGGUUGCCAGACUGGCCCAAAAGUACAUCCCCGCCCAGAGCUGGAGAGGAUGGCUGAAGACCCCUGGCAGGUCCCCUGCUCCAGACAGUGGUCCAGACAAGAGGUGAUGAUGCCCAGGUGAGCAGUGGACACUUAGGGAACUAAAUGAAUGAGAUGUAUAUUCGAGAGGUGGACUCAACAGGAGUUUUUGAUGGAUUGGAUGGCUCCAUACGAGAGCGAAAUUCGUUGUAUGGAUUGAAUGUUGUAUGGUUGUUUUUCUAAAUUCACUUUUGUAGUCGUCACACCCCAGAACCACAGAAAACACAGGGCCUUCUGAGAGGGGUGACCACAUGCUGCAUGGGUAACAUCACACGAAAUUGUGUAACAGUCAGGCCCUUGUUGGUUGGGGACGCUCCCUCUCCCCACCAGCGACUUCACCACGUGUUCUCGUCCUGAGCCCUUAGGAUCAUUUCACUCUGAUUUGGAGGCGUUUUUAAAGGGGGGAAAAAACAUGUAUUCAAUCCAUUCCAUAGUUAAUACAAUUAGCCACUUAAGACUGCCACUUGAUUAAAUUUAAAAUAUAAAUGCCUAGGUAUAAAGGAAGACGUAAUGGCUUUUAUUAAGCCAGCUCCAUUCAGUCAAAAGCCCAGUUCAGAUUUCAUGUGGUUUCACGUUUGCCUUUCCUGCUGAGUCACUCUUUUCAUGACCAGCUUCUGAAAUGAUAAAGCCCGCAUUCACCAACGUGGAUACCGCUAUCCUACCUUGAUGAAGACAAGAGAUGGGGCUUAUUACGUUGACUCUGCUCAGAAGGAGAGGGGGCCUGCCCAUGUGUGUUAUUACCGCCAAAGGAGUUCUGGAAUGAGUGAGCCCUAGACAGAGCGUGGAUCCCUGUUCGUAUACGCGCUUAUUGUGAUGGGAGCUGUGUGCGUAAGUACUUUGAAACUGCUCUCAGCCAUAACUGUGGUCUCCCUCCGAGCUGUACAUUUUGCCAUAAACCUUCAACAUCAUUUGGAGGCCGUUUAACUCUCAGUUUAUCCACAAACUUUUAGAGAAAACUGGGCCAUGUCCCAAAGCAAAUUACUCCUGAAAUGGGAGCUCGUGCCUCGUAAGUUCAGGCACUUUAAAACUGGUAAGGAAUAAAGACAUCCAAAAAAUAACCAAAAUUGAGAAGGACUACACCGAAAAUUAAGACCAUUCAAAUUUAAACUAAGUCAACCGUGAUAAAUUGGGGGUUUAGUUGUUUUGUUGUUGUCAGGCUGGUAUUGGGGUUAUUUUGGCUUUUCAGUUUAUUAAAUAUUUUAAUGAUUGAUGAUGUCUAGUAUUGGCAAGGAAGGGUCUACUCUCAGAAUAUGUUGAUAAAUAUACGAGUUGUUACAGCUCUACUGGAAGGUAUUGUGGCAAUAGCUAUUCGCAUGUGUUGAAUGCCCCCACUUCAUGCCUAGAUAUUAGACAAAAAAAAAAAAAAUACCCACAAAGGGACAAGAACAAAGAUGUUUCUGGUAGCCUUGGUUGCAAAGGGGAGCAUAUUACAACAACCUUAAAUCCAUCAAGAUCGAAAUAAACAAUAGCAUGCAUAUAUUCAGAAAGAAUGAGCUGGAUCAACCAACUCUGAUGAUACUUAUCAAGACACGAUGGAGUUCCCCUUGUGGCGCAGUGGUUAACGAAUCCGACUAGGAACCAUGAGAUUUCGGGUUCGAUCCCCGGCCUUGCUCAGGGAGUUAAGGAUCUGGCGUUGCCGAGAGCUGUGGUGUGGGUCGCAGACAUGGCUCAGAUCCUGCAUUGCUGUGGCUGUGGUGUAGACUGGUGGCUGCAGCUCCAAUUCGACCCCUAGCCUGGGAACCUCCAUAUGCCGCAGGAG